RNAcentral lists this ribosomal RNA (253 nucleotides) under uncultured bacterium. RNAcentral's name for it is "partial 16S ribosomal RNA". It matches the Rfam family "Bacterial small subunit ribosomal RNA", at positions 524 to 776 of the family's 1533-position model. The record is from RNAcentral.
UACGGGGGGGGCAAGCGUUGUUCGGAAUUACUGGGCGUAAAGGGCUCGUAGGUGGCCAACUAAGUCAUACGUGAAAUCCCUCAGCUUAACUGGGGAACUGCGUCUGAUACUGGAUGGCUUGAGUUUGGGAGAGGGAUGCGGAAUUCCAGGUGUAGCGGUGAAAUGCGUAGAUAUCUGGAGGAACACCGGUGGCGAAGGCGGCGUCCUGGACCAACACUGACACUGAGGAGCGAAAGCCAGGGGAGCAAACGGG